RNAcentral lists this ribosomal RNA (492 nucleotides) under uncultured bacterium. RNAcentral describes it as "partial 16S ribosomal RNA". It matches the Rfam family "Bacterial small subunit ribosomal RNA", at positions 29 to 507 of the family's 1533-position model. The record is from RNAcentral.
AGUGAACGCUGGCGGUAGGCCUAACACAUGCAAGUCGAACGGCAGCACAGAAAGAGCUUGCUCUUACGGGUGGCGAGUGGCGGACGGGUGAGGAAAAACUCGGUAUCUACUUUUUCGUGGGGGAUAACGUAGGGAAACUUACGCUAAUACCGCAUACGACCUACGGGUGAAAGCAGGGGAUCUUCGGCCCUUGCGCGAUUCAAUGAGCCGAUGUCGGAUUAGCUAGUUGGCGGGGUAAAGGCCCACCAAGGCGACGAUCCGUAGCUGGUCUGAGAGGAUGAUCAGCCACACUGGAACUGAGACACGGUCCAGACUCCUACGGGAGGCAGCAGUGGGGAAUAUUGGACAAUGGGCGCAAGCCUGAUCCAGCCAUACCGCGUGGGUGAAGAAGGCCUUCGGGUUGUAAAGCCCUUUUGUUUGGAAAGAAAAGCAGCAGGUUAAUACCCCGCUGUUCUGACGGUACCCAAAGAAUAAGCACCGGCUAACUUCGUG